Non-coding RNA from Triticum aestivum (bread wheat), 125 nucleotides. The record is from Rfam. NCBI's taxonomy places the organism in Eukaryota, Viridiplantae, Streptophyta, Magnoliopsida, Poales, Poaceae.
CAAGUACUCCCUCCGUCCCGAAAUACUCGUCGGAGAGAUGGAUGUAUUUAGACGUAUUUUUGUUUUAGAUGCAUCCAUUUUCAUUCAUUUCUAUGACAAGUAUUUCUGGACGGAGGGAGUAUUAC